GACGUAGGGCGCGAGCGUUGUCCGGAUUUAUUGGGCGUAAAGAGCACGUAGGCGGCUCAUCGCGUCUGCCGUGAAAACCCGCAGCUCAACUGCGGGCUUGCGGUUGAUACGGGUGGGCUGGAGUUCGGUAGGGGAGACUGGAAUUCCUGGUGUAGCGGUGAAAUGCGCAGAUAUCAGGAGGAACACCGGUGGCGAAGGCGGGUCUCUGGGCCGAUACUGACGCUGAGGAGCGAAAGCGUGGGGAGCGAACAGG
Molecule: ribosomal RNA, 253 nt
Filed under: uncultured bacterium
Lineage: Bacteria
Description: partial 16S ribosomal RNA
Rfam family: Bacterial small subunit ribosomal RNA
Source: RNAcentral